AUGGAUCACAAAGAAGAGGCUUCUUCGAGAAGUUGCAUUUGCCUUGCCGAUACUGUAAUCAAGGAAUAUUUUCCUUCUUCAAUGGCUUCCUGUCAGGAUAUGAAGAAAUGUCCUGAGAAAGUUAAGUGAACCCUUUCACGGGCAUAUAAGGAAUCUGAUUACUCCUCGUAUUACCAAUUAGUUUUACGGUUUCUUGACUUCCCAUCUAAGAAGCAAGUACAAGACAACUAGUCAGUCUAAAAACAUCAUCAGAGAUUCAGAGUCAAGAGGAAUCGAUCAAUGCCGCAGCUUAUGGCGAAACUGUGUCAUUGACUUGCGUCUCCACCAAAGAAGAGACAUUAGAAAAUUCAUGGAGUUGAUGAGAGAAUUCGUUGUUUGAAAGGUCUAGUGCUUGCAGCAAUGGAAGAGAAAACAUAGACAACGCACUGCCUCCAUCGAGUAGAUUGGAACUCAAGUCAACAAACGCCAAAUUGACAAGGUUUUCCCAAUGAGUGGAACUAAUGGAAGUAUGGAACCACUGAACUUGUUCUCUGACAUUUGUAAAUCGUACAAGUAUGUGAGGUUUG
RNAcentral lists this small RNA (566 nucleotides) under Malus domestica (apple). Its description in RNAcentral is "sRNA MD15G0052700". Lineage: Eukaryota; Viridiplantae; Streptophyta; Magnoliopsida; Rosales; Rosaceae. The record is from RNAcentral.